GUUCCUUUGGGGAUGUUCAGUAAAAUUAAAAUGAUACAAAGAAGAUAAGCGUGGCUCCUACGCAAGAAUGACACACACAGGUCGAGAAAUUAUCUAAAUUUUU
Non-coding RNA from Capsicum annuum, 103 nucleotides. The record is from Rfam. Lineage: Eukaryota; Viridiplantae; Streptophyta; Magnoliopsida; Solanales; Solanaceae.